AUUGAACGCUGGCGGCAGGCUUAACACAUGCAAGUCGAGCGGGGGAAGGUAGCUUGCUACUGGACCUAGCGGCGGACGGGUGAGUAAUGCUUAGGAAUCUGCCUAUUAGUGGGGGACAACAUCUCGAAAGGGAUGCUAAUACCGCAUACGUCCUACGGGAGAAAGCAGGGGAUCUUCGGACCUUGCGCUAAUAGAUGAGCCUAAGUCGGAUUAGCUAGUUGGUGGGGUAAAGGCCUGCCAAGGCGACGAUCUGUAGCGGGUCUGAGAGGAUGAUCCGCCAAACUGGGACUGAGACACGGCCCAGACUCCUACGGGAGGCAGCAGUGGGGAAUAUUGGACAAUGGGGGGAACCCUGAUCCAGCCAUGCCGCGUGUGUGAAGAAGGCCUUAUGGUUGUAAAGCACUUUAAGCGAGGAGGAGGCUACUCUAGUUAAUACCUAGGGAUAGUGGACGUUACUCGCAGAAUAAGCACCGGCUAACUCUGUGCCAGCCGCCGCGGUAA
RNAcentral lists this ribosomal RNA (501 nucleotides) under uncultured bacterium. RNAcentral's name for it is "partial 16S ribosomal RNA". It matches the Rfam family "Bacterial small subunit ribosomal RNA", at positions 30 to 523 of the family's 1533-position model. The record is from RNAcentral.